This 1881-nucleotide ribosomal RNA is filed under the name Triticum aestivum (bread wheat). Its description in RNAcentral is "partial small subunit ribosomal RNA". The record is from RNAcentral. Lineage: Eukaryota; Viridiplantae; Streptophyta; Magnoliopsida; Poales; Poaceae.
AUGCAUACAUGGGAUGUUAUUAAGCGCACAUUCCCCAUGACAAGUUCUGGCAGUAUCGUAAUCACCACUACUCGUAUACAUGAUGUUGCCAAAUCAUGUCAUUCAUCAUUUAGUGGGCACAUUUAUAGUAUAAGGCCCCUUAACCCGGUGCAUUCAAAAGAACUAUUUCAUGGAAGGCUGUUCAACUCUAAAGAAGAUCUCCCUUUACACCUCGAAAAAGUUUCUGAUGAAAUUUUGAAAAAAUGUGAUGGAUUACCUCUGGCAAUCAUUGCUAUAUCUGGUUUGUUGGCUAAUAGAGAGAGAACAGAGGAUGUAUGGAAGCAAGUGAAAGAUUCAAUUGGGUGUGCACUUGAAAGAAAUCCUAGCGUUGAAGUAAUGAUGAAGAUACUGUCUCUUAGUUACUUUGAUCUGCCUCCUUAUCUAAAGACAUGUCUCUUAUAUUUCAGUAUAUUUCCAGAAGAUUCUUUUAUUGAGAUGCAAAGUUUGAUAAUGAGGUGGAUAGGUGAAGAAUUCAUUCAUAAAGAAGGAAGAUAUAUGGCGCAAGAGAUAGGAGAAAGGUGUUUUAAUGAGCUCCUCAAUAGGGGUUUGAUUCAACCCGGGGAGACAAAUGAAUAUGGCGAGGUGAAGAGUUGUCGUGUUCACGACAUAAUUCUUGAUUUCAUCGUAUCCAAGUCUAUAGAAGAAAACUUUGUUACUAUAUUAAGUGUUACCACUAUGGCAGUGAGGACACAAAGCAAAGUCGUCCGGCGAUUCUCUCUACAAGGAAUCGAGGAAGAAAAUUCAACAAUAUCGAAAGCAGGUCUGGUGUUGUCCCAUGUCCGGUCACUUAAUGUGUUUGAAGGUUUUGUGGAAAUCCCUUCUUUGGGGGAGUUCAGACAUCUGCGUGUUUUCCACUUUGAUAGCUACAUGCCACUGGAAGACCAUCAUCUUGAAAAUAUAGUGAGGUUGAUGCAGCUUAGGUACCUGAACCUCCAAGGUACAAAAAUAAGUGAGCUCCCAGAACAAAUCGGGAGUUUAGGGUGCUUAGAAAUACUUAACCUAAGAUUCAAUCAUGUGAGGGAAUUACCUGCAUCUAUUGUUAAGCUUGAAAAAUUAUCACAUCUACUCGUUGAUGAUUAUGUUAAAUUUCCUGAUGGGGUCGCAAAGAUGCAAGCACUAGAGACGCUGGAAGAUGUGAGGGCCUCCAUUCAACCAUUUGACUUCCUGUGCGGACUUGGCCAGCUAAAGAAUUUGAGGAGACUGCAGCUUGACCUUAUUGUGGUUUGGGAGGACUGCAACAAGGCUAUCGCCUCUUCACUGUGUAAGCUAGGCACCCAGAAUCUCCGCUCCCUAACUAUUUAUAAAGGGAGUAGCCUCUUACACGAACCUUUGUAUCUGCCUAUGCUCGAGAAACUUAUGACAUGGUUUUCAGUCGUCCCUGAGGUUCCGAAAUGGGUGAGUUCCCUCAGAAACCUCCAACUGCUACGUCUUGAAGUGGAUGUAGUCAAGCAGGAUGAUAUCUGCAUCCUUGGUGCCUUACCCACUCUGCUCAUUCUGCAUCUGAUUGACGUAACGAAUUCAAAUGAAAAGCUCAGAAUCAGUGGUGUAGAUGGGUUCAAAUUCUUGAGGAUUUUUAUGUAUGUUACAAAUUCUCAUAAGCUAGAUCUGAUGUUUGCAGCAGGAUCCAUGCCCAAGCUAGAAAAACUCGAUCUUAGUUGUUUGCACAUACUUGAAGCUAACUAUUUGGACUUUGGAAUCGAGAACCUCCUCUGCCUCAUCACUGUAAAAUUUGUAGCAUAUGGCAGGCUUGAGGGCGUUAUUGGAGCCAUAAAGACUGCCUUGGAGAGAGCAGCCAACACACAUUCCAACCACCCUAGUGUACUCUUUGAGAGAAUUCAAUAA